Sapajus apella (tufted capuchin) is the source of this 512-nucleotide long non-coding RNA. RefSeq lists it as uncharacterized. Lineage: Eukaryota; Metazoa; Chordata; Mammalia; Primates; Cebidae. The transcript is spliced from 3 exons. The record is from RefSeq and is a predicted model, not a curated record.
AUCCUUUUUCUCACUGCUAAAAAAAGAGAGGCCAGGAAUACUAACCAGCUAAGUAAAGAACUCUUGGAAGACAAAGUGAUCUUUAUGGAGCACUGCGCAGGACUUGACUUCCACCUAGGCAUAUCUUAGAUGUUUACUCUGAUGUAAAUGGAAUCGCAGCUAACAGGAUUUCUUUCCCCCGUUUAUUUCAAAGCUAAAAUAUCUCGGAUUUUAUGUGUUUUGUCUUAAUGGGAUACCAGCUACCUAAAUAUGCAACUGUUUUUCAUAAAGCUAUUGGCUUGUGUUAUGAAGGUGAAUCAGUGAUCUGAAAUUUGGGGCUGGAUGGGCACCUUUGGAAACAGUACAUAGAAGAACAUUGAAAACAUAAAAUAAUCACUCAGAAUCCCAGAGUCGUAGAGUCAGAGGAUGCGAAAGCUUGGACCUCAAGACAUGGUUGCUUGCACUACCCGACCGUCAGGAAGAUCAAAUUAAAUACAGUGCCUGAAAUAUAGGCAUUAUUCAGCAAUAUCAAG